This 776-nucleotide ribosomal RNA is filed under the name uncultured bacterium. RNAcentral describes it as "bacterial SSU rRNA". It matches the Rfam family "Bacterial small subunit ribosomal RNA", at positions 63 to 824 of the family's 1533-position model. The record is from RNAcentral.
CGAGGGGCAGCGGGGGCGGAAGCUUGCUUUCGCCCGCCGGCGACCGGCGCACGGGUGAGUAACACGUAUGCAACCUGGCCGCCACAGGGGGAUAACCCGCGGAAACGCGGCCUAAUACCCCGUGACGCCACCGGAGGGCAUCCUCCGGUGGCCAAAGGAGCGAUCCGGUGGCGGAUGGGCAUGCGGCGCAUUAGCUAGACGGCGGGGUGACGGCCCACCGUGGCGACGAUGCGUAGGGGUUCUGAGAGGAAGGCCCCCCACACUGGGACUGAGACACGGCCCAGACUCCUACGGGAGGCAGCAGUGAGGAAUAUUGGUCAAUGGGCGGAAGCCUGAACCAGCCAAGUCGCGUGAGGGAUUAAGGCCCUGCGGGUCGUAAACCUCUUUUGCCGGGGAGCAGUGGUCCGGACGCGUCCGGGCCGGGAGAGUACCCGGAGAAAAAGCAUCGGCUAACUCCGUGCCAGCAGCCGCGGUAAUACGGAGGAUGCGAGCGUUAUCCGGAUUUAUUGGGUUUAAAGGGUGCGUAGGCGGGCAUUUAAGCCGGCGGUCAAAUGUCGGGGCUCAACCCCGGCCUGCCGUCGGAACUGGGUGCCUUGAGUGGGCGAGAAGUAUGCGGAAUGCGUGGUGUAGCGGUGAAAUGCAUAGAUAUCACGCAGAACCCCGAUUGCGAAGGCAGCAUACCGGCGCCCUACUGACGCUGAGGCACGAAAGUGCGGGUAUCGAACAGGAUUAGAUACCCUGGUAGUCCGCACAGUAAACGAUGGAUGCUAUCUGUC